CCUACGGGAGGCAGCAGUGAGGAAUAUUGGACAAUGGGCGCAAGCCUGAUCCAGCCAUGCCGCGUGCAGGAAGACGGUCCUAUGGAUUGUAAACUGCUUUUGUACGGGAAGAAACACUCCUUCGUGAAGGAGCUUGACGGUACCGUAAGAAUAAGGAUCGGCUAACUCCGUGCCAGCAGCCGCGGUAAUACGGAGGAUCCAAGCGUUAUCCGGAAUCAUUGGGUUUAAAGGGUCCGUAGGCGGUUUAGUAAGUCAGUGGUGAAAGCCCAUCGCUCAACGGUGGAACGGCCAUUGAUACUGCUAGACUUGAAUUAUUAGGAAGUAACUAGAAUAUGUAGUGUAGCGGUGAAAUGCUUAGAGAUUACAUGGAAUACCAAUUGCGAAGGCAGGUUACUACUAAUGGAUUGACGCUGAUGGACGAAAGCGUGGGUAGCGAACAGGAUUAGAUACCCUGGUAGUCCACGCCGUAAACGAUGGAUACUAGCUGUUGGGGGCAACUUCAGUGGCUAAGCGAAAGUGAUAAGUAUCCACCUGGGGAGUACGUUCGCAAGAAUGAAACUUCAAAGGAAUUGACGGCUUGAGNGNGCGAGNGACGACGAGGGAGAGG
Molecule: ribosomal RNA, 607 nt
Filed under: uncultured bacterium
Lineage: Bacteria
Description: bacterial SSU rRNA
Rfam family: Bacterial small subunit ribosomal RNA
Source: RNAcentral